UUUUUUUAAAAUCUUAAUAUCUGAUUUUUUGACCAAUUAAUUCAAACUAGAAUUACACAUAAAAAAGUUAUAACCUAUAAAGUAGUAUUUAUUCCUUACUCUCUAGUAAUAAAUAUAACACUUGGUAAUUCAACUAGCAUAGGUACAAACACACAUCUUUGUACCAUUAAAAUAAUCAAAACAAACUCCAAUAUGAUCUCU
This 201-nucleotide long non-coding RNA is filed under the name Lathyrus oleraceus (garden pea). Its description in RNAcentral is "Pisum sativum (pea) long non-coding RNA (PSAT_LNC002820)". Lineage: Eukaryota; Viridiplantae; Streptophyta; Magnoliopsida; Fabales; Fabaceae. The record is from RNAcentral.